GAGUUUGAUCGUGGCUCAGAUUGAACGCUGGCGGCAGGCCUAACACAUGCAAGUCGAGCGGUAGAGAGAAGCUUGCUUCUCUUGAGAGCGGCGGACGGGUGAGUAAUGCCUAGGAAUCUGCCUGGUAGUGGGGGAUAACGCUCGGAAACGGACGCUAAUGCCGCAUACGUCCUACGGGAGAAAGCAGGGGACCUUCGGGCCUUGCGCUAUCAGAUGAGCCUAGGUCGGAUUAGCUAGUUGGUGAGGUAAUGGCUCACCAAGGCGACGAUCCGUAACUGGUCUGAGAGGAUGAUCAGUCACACUGGAACUGAGACACGGUCCAGACUCCUACGGGAGGCAGCAGUGGGGAAUAUUGGACAAUGGGCGAAAGCCUGAUCCAGCCAUGCCGCGUGUGUGAAGAAGGUCUUCGGAUUGUAAAGCACUUUAAGUUGGGAGGAAGGCAGUAAAUUAAUACUUUGCUG
RNAcentral lists this ribosomal RNA (461 nucleotides) under uncultured bacterium. RNAcentral describes it as "bacterial SSU rRNA". It matches the Rfam family "Bacterial small subunit ribosomal RNA", at positions 9 to 475 of the family's 1533-position model. The record is from RNAcentral.